GACCAUAGCAUAGCUGCUAGAGUGUGAGACUCUUAAUCUCAUGGUUGUGGGUUCGAGCCCCAUGUUGGUCA
Podarcis lilfordi (Lilford's wall lizard) is the source of this 71-nucleotide non-coding RNA. The record is from the annotation of a GenBank genome assembly. Lineage: Eukaryota; Metazoa; Chordata; Lepidosauria; Squamata; Lacertidae.